CCUGAACCAGCCAUGCCGCGUGCAGGAAGACUGCCCUAUGGGUUGUAAACUGCUUUUAUCCGGGAAUAAACCACAUUACGUGUAAUGUGCUGAAUGUACCGGAAGAAUAAGGAUCGGCUAACUCCGUGCCAGCAGCCGCGGUAAUACGGAGGAUCCAAGCGUUAUCCGGAUUUAUUGGGUUUAAAGGGUGCGUAGGCGGCCUGUUAAGUCAGGGGUGAAAGACGGUAGCUCAACUAUCGCAGUGCCCUUGAUACUGAUGGGCUUGAAUGGACUAGAGGUAGGCGGAAUGAGACAAGUAGCGGUGAAAUGCAUAGAUAUGUCUCAAAACACCGAUUGCGAAGGCAGCUUACUAUGGUCUUAUUGACGCUGAGGCACGAAAGCGUGGGGAUCAAACAGGAUUAGAUACCCUGGUAGUCCACGCCCUAAACGAUGAACACUCGCUGUUGGCGAUACACAGUCAGCGGCUAAGCGAAAGCGUUAAGUGUUCCACCUGGGGAGUACGCUCGCAAGAGUGAAACUCAAAGGAAUUGACGG
Molecule: ribosomal RNA, 534 nt
Filed under: uncultured Pedobacter sp.
Lineage: Bacteria; Pseudomonadati; Bacteroidota; Sphingobacteriia; Sphingobacteriales; Sphingobacteriaceae
Description: bacterial SSU rRNA
Rfam family: Bacterial small subunit ribosomal RNA
Source: RNAcentral